AAAUGAGGGCGGAAAUGGAAAACACGAAAGAAGGAGGCGGGGGGGGGACCCCAGUGAGCAUCUAAGUGGUACCAGUUUGCUUGGGAGUGAGGAGGCUGGUGGGCUUCUCUUUUUGACUCCUAGGUGCUAUACAAAAAGGGUUUUGAGGUAGUUGCCAUAAAGGAAACAGAUUUGUCCAGACUCCCAGCCUCAUCCCCCACUGCCAGCUCUGUGAACAUGGCCCCCGCAAGUACUCAUCACCAACCUGGAAGCAGUCCUUCAAUAACCAGCAGGGCGAGAGCUUAGCACAACGAUAAAGUUGCAAGAACGUACCUUGGUUCAUCUUUUUAAAACUGCAGAAGGCAAGACAGACACCUAAGCAGCAGAUAAACUUUCGAAGUAGGAAACAGCUCAUUUUAUGGAAAGCAAGGCUAUGUUUCCAGGAAAAGACAAUGUCGUGGCCCUUCUCCAAGUUAUCCACAGACUGCUUGAGAGUCAGAUCAGAAUGCACCCCUUCUCUGCAGCCGAGACACUUUCUAAGAAGGGAUAAAUGGAUGAAAACACGUCGCAAAGCUGGUGUUACCUCCCCACAGGCAAGGAGACACAGCCUUGGAAAAGCAUACGCAGCACUAUAUCAAGGUGAAGAUAAGAGCACAAUUGAGAGGAUUUAAACUUAUUGGCCCUGUGAAGCACAACCAAGCUUUUGCAAAGAGCUGGUCUCCGUUUCUGGGACUGAUGCUGAGCGUGAAGCUGGAUGGCUUAAGGAAAAUCCUGCAGUUUCCUUGCAGUCUCUUCAGGAGACUCUCAGGGCUCGCUGCAGUUUGUGUGGGCAAAAGCAAGCCUGCAGAUUUUGGAGUUUCUCAAGGGUCGUUAUGCAGACAGGAGCUGGUAGCGGUGGCUUCAGGUGUCUCCUUUCAAGGACAAAGCUCCUCAUGGGUGAAGGGAGGCAUGGCUGUGCGUGGUGAAUCAAGGGGCCAGAGAGCUACGCGGCUAUGACCUCAAGCGCUGAGCUUUCCGAGAAGUUAAAUAAAAACGCACCACACCAA
Cygnus atratus (black swan) is the source of this 1025-nucleotide long non-coding RNA. RefSeq lists it as uncharacterized. The record is from RefSeq and is a predicted model, not a curated record. NCBI's taxonomy places the organism in Eukaryota, Metazoa, Chordata, Aves, Anseriformes, Anatidae. The transcript has 4 exons.